This 305-nucleotide ribosomal RNA is filed under the name uncultured bacterium. RNAcentral describes it as "partial 16S ribosomal RNA". It matches the Rfam family "Bacterial small subunit ribosomal RNA", at positions 506 to 809 of the family's 1533-position model. The record is from RNAcentral.
ACAGCAGUAGCCGCGGUAACACGUAGGGUGCGAGCGUUAAUCGGAAUUACUGGGCGUAAAGCGUGCGCAGGCGGUUGUGUAAGACAGGUGUGAAAUCCCCGGGCUUAACCUGGGAACUGCGCUUGUGACUGCACAGCUAGAGUAUGGCAGAGGGGGGUGGAAUUCCACGUGUAGCAGUGAAAUGCGUAGAGAUGUGGAGGAACACCGAUGGCGAAGGCAGCCCCCUGGGACAACACUGACGCUGAGGCACGAAAGCGUGGGGAGCAAACAGGAUUAGAUACCCGUGUAGUCCCUGUCUCUUAUAA